ACGCACGCUGGCGGCAUGCCUCACCCAUGCCAGUCGAACGAGACCUUCGGGUCUAGUGGCGCACGGGUGCGUAACGCGUGGGAACCUGCCCUUAGGUUCGGAAUAACUCCCCGAAAGGGGUGCUAAUACCGGAUAAUGUCUUCGGACCAAAGAUUUAUCGCCUUUGGAUGGGCCCGCGUUGGAUUAGCUAGUUGGUAGGGUAAAAGCCUACCAAGGCGACGAUCCAUAGCUGGUCUGAGAGGAUGAUCAGCCACACUGGGACUGAGACACGGCCCAGACUCCUACGGGAGGCAGCAGUGGGGAAUAUUGGACAAUGGGCGAAAGCCUGAUCCAGCAAUGCCGCGUGAGUGAUGAAGGCCUUAGGGUUGUAAAGCUCUUUUACCCGGGAUGAUAAUGACAGUACCGGGAGAAUAAGCUCCGGCUAACUCCGUG
This 432-nucleotide ribosomal RNA is filed under the name uncultured bacterium. Its description in RNAcentral is "partial 16S ribosomal RNA". It matches the Rfam family "Bacterial small subunit ribosomal RNA", at positions 29 to 507 of the family's 1533-position model. The record is from RNAcentral.